Molecule: transfer RNA, 67 nt
Filed under: Camelus bactrianus (Bactrian camel)
Lineage: Eukaryota; Metazoa; Chordata; Mammalia; Artiodactyla; Camelidae
Also listed under: 1 other name
Rfam family: tRNA
About the family: Transfer RNA (tRNA) molecules are approximately 80 nucleotides in length. Their secondary structure includes four short double-helical elements and three loops (D, anti-codon, and T loops).
Source: Rfam by way of RNAcentral
AAGGCUAUAGCUCAAUGGUAGAGUGCAUGCAUGCAAGAGGUCCUGGGUUCAAUCCCCAGUACCUCCA